CCCCUGAAGGAACGUUUAAGACUAAGACGUUGAUAGGCUGGGUGUGUAAGUGCAGCGAUGCAUUGAGCUAACCAGUACUAAUGAUCCGUGAGGCUUAACCU
RNAcentral lists this ribosomal RNA (101 nucleotides) under Serratia nematodiphila. RNAcentral describes it as "23S rRNA. Bacterial LSU". It matches the Rfam family "Bacterial large subunit ribosomal RNA", at positions 2824 to 2925 of the family's 2925-position model. Lineage: Bacteria; Pseudomonadati; Pseudomonadota; Gammaproteobacteria; Enterobacterales; Yersiniaceae. The record is from RNAcentral.